GUUCUACUGCGGCGUUGGUGACUGCCAAUAAUGUUUUAUGAUCUUGCUUUGUCUAUAAGGGAACCCAAUUGACUCCAGUGGCAGUAUACCGAGCUUGUACUCGGAAACUUUAAACUGGGGCAGAGGUGCCCACCUGGAUUCGUCCAGGUCAAAAACUGAGGUAAGACGGCGCUGCGGUGAACCC
RNAcentral lists this non-coding RNA (184 nucleotides) under Drouetiella hepatica Uher 2000/2452. Its description in RNAcentral is "Leptolyngbya sp. Uher 2000/2452 6S / SsrS RNA". It matches the Rfam family "6S / SsrS RNA". From Rfam's summary of the family: E. coli 6S RNA was the first non coding RNA to be sequenced, but its function was unknown until recently. It consists of 184 nucleotides that fold into an extended hairpin structure with a large single-stranded internal bulge. The 6S RNA specifically associates with RNA polymerase holoenzyme containing the sigma70 specificity factor. Lineage: Bacteria; Bacillati; Cyanobacteriota; Cyanophyceae; Oculatellales; Oculatellaceae. RNAcentral also lists the same sequence under 1 other name. The record is from Rfam by way of RNAcentral.